AUGACUGUCAAGUCAGCAUGACCUUUAUAUCCAGGGCUACACACACGCUACAAUGGUCUGUACAAUGGGUAGCCAAGCCGCGAGGCGGAGCCAAUCCUGAAAGCAGGCCUCAGUUCAGAUUGCAGUCUGCAACUCGACUGCAUGAAGCCGGAGUUGCUAGUAACCGCAGGUCAGCAAUACUGCGGUGAAUACGUUCCCGGGUCUU
RNAcentral lists this ribosomal RNA (205 nucleotides) under uncultured Anaerolineaceae bacterium. RNAcentral's name for it is "partial 16S ribosomal RNA". It matches the Rfam family "Bacterial small subunit ribosomal RNA", at positions 1179 to 1382 of the family's 1533-position model. The record is from RNAcentral. Lineage: Bacteria; Bacillati; Chloroflexota; Anaerolineae; Anaerolineales; Anaerolineaceae.